GAGGGCAGCAUCUGCCAAAAAAGGCCCGAGCGAGGUCAGGGUGAGCGGCGGAGGUUGUCCGGCAGAUCUCAGCCGAGACUCGUCUCCCUUCACUGAAGAGACAAGCUGACCCUCAGAUACGAGCUGCGGGCCACCCAGCUUUCCAGCACAGGAAGGAGAGGGGAAGUGAGGCAUAUUUAGACUGGAGAAAAACCAGGAAAAAUUGAUGUAGCAGUACAAUGGGCUUCAGUCUCCUCUUCACUGGGAAUCGUUCCUGAAAGGAAUGGGACUGAGCCAGGAGUGUCGGAAUGGUUCAGCUCAAUGCCCUUGUGCUGCUCCCAGCCGGGUCCCACGGCCGGUGCCAGACGUGGGUGCAGCUCUGCCGGGUGCUGGCAGGCGGGAGGUGCUACCCCGAGCUUACUUCCAGGUACGGUAAGCGUGAGCCCACGGUCUGCACCUCAACCCGUAGCCAUGCCUUUGGG
This is a long non-coding RNA of Chroicocephalus ridibundus (black-headed gull), 461 nucleotides long. RefSeq lists it as uncharacterized. NCBI's taxonomy places the organism in Eukaryota, Metazoa, Chordata, Aves, Charadriiformes, Laridae. The record is from RefSeq and is a predicted model, not a curated record. The transcript is spliced from 3 exons.